AAAUUGAAGAGUUUGAUCAUGGCUCAGAUUGAACGCUGGCGGCAGGCCUAACACAUGCAAGUCGAACGGUAACAGGAAACAGCUUGCUGUUUCGCUGACGAGUGGCGGACGGGUGAGUAAUGUCUGGGAAACUGCCUGAUGGAGGGGGAUAACUACUGGAAACGGUAGCUAAUACCGCAUAAUGUCGCAAGACUAAAGAGGGGGACCUUCGGGCCUCUUGCCAUCGGAUGUGCCCAGAUGGGAUUAGCUAGUAGGUGGGGUAACGGCUCACCUAGGCGACGAUCCCUAGCUGGUCUGAGAGGAUGACCAGCCACACUGGAACUGAGACACGGUCCAGACUCCUACGGGAGGCAGCAGUGGGGAAUAUUGCACAAUGGGCGCAAGCCUGAUGCAGCCAUGCCGCGUGUAUGAAGAAGGCCUUCGGGUUGUAAAGUACUUUCAGCGGGGAGGAAGGGAGUAAAGUUAAUACCUUUGCUCAUUGACGUUACCCGCAGAAGAAGCACCGGCUAACUCCGUGCCAGCAGCCGCGGUAAUACGGAGGGUGCAAGCGUUAAUCGGAAUUACUGGGCGUAAAGCGCACGCAGGCGGUUUGUUAAGUCAGAUGUGAAAUCCCCGGGCUCAACCUGGGAACUGCAUCUGAUACUGGCAAGCUUGAGUCUCGUAGAGGGGGGUAGAAUUCCAGGUGUAGCGGUGAAAU
RNAcentral lists this ribosomal RNA (697 nucleotides) under Shigella sonnei. RNAcentral describes it as "bacterial SSU rRNA". It matches the Rfam family "Bacterial small subunit ribosomal RNA", at positions 1 to 687 of the family's 1533-position model. The record is from RNAcentral. Lineage: Bacteria; Pseudomonadati; Pseudomonadota; Gammaproteobacteria; Enterobacterales; Enterobacteriaceae.